This 253-nucleotide ribosomal RNA is filed under the name uncultured bacterium. RNAcentral's name for it is "partial 16S ribosomal RNA". It matches the Rfam family "Bacterial small subunit ribosomal RNA", at positions 524 to 776 of the family's 1533-position model. The record is from RNAcentral.
UACGGAGGAUCCAAGCGUUAUCCGGAUUUAUUGGGUUUAAAGGGUGCGUAGGCGGAAUUGUAAGUCAGUGGUGAAAGCCCUUCGCCUAACGAAGGAACUGCCAUUGAUACUGCAAAUCUUGAGUACAUUUGAUGAGGGCGGAAUGUGUCAUGUAGCGGUGAAAUGCUUAGAUAUGACACAGAACACCGAUUGCGAAGGCAGCUCUCAAAACUGUAACUGACGCUGAGGCACGAAAGCGUGGGUAUCAAACAGG